CGCGCCUCACUGAUUGUGUUGUGUACAGUCUUCUAUAAUUUGGGUAAGAUUUUAUGAGUUUGAUCUAACUUUAUUUGGUCAUUUUGGUUUUUUUUUUCAUUUUUUGUAUUGUUGUUUUAGGUGAAACACCUCUCUCCACCUAAUCCCCACUAAUACCGCUCACAUAAAUAAUAAAUCAUAUGUACACAUAAAGCUCUAACAGCUACAGCAGAGCAACACAUCAUAUCACCUGAGCUUCUCUGAAAGGAACAAUGAAUGCCAUACUCAAUAACUGAAUAUACACAUACUAUGUAAGGCAAUGGCUAUUAAUUGAGCCAAUAUCUCUAGAAAUUUAACACCAUAUUUAUUUGAAAUGAGCGUCCCAUAACAUAAGAUCGUUUUGCAAGAUAUUUUAUAGCUUGCAAAACGAUCUUAUAUUAUGGGAUGGAGGAACUAUUACCAUAUACAUUCUCAGCUUUGAGACUCACUAUGAAGGUAUCUAUCAAUAAUUGUGAUAUCAAGUGUAUUCUAUCUACAACCUAACAUCUAAAAGAAGAAAAAUCUAUCAACCAUGUUCACCUCAUGAUAUAACCUAGUAGCAUCAUUGGUGACACAUUCCUCCUUGUAAAGGAGCAAUGUAUACAGCAUACAGUCAAACAAAUAGCAUGCAAAGAUAACAGAGACAAGCGCAUUUUGGCAAAGCAUGGGAAGUGACAACUCUUAACUAUCCAGAGAAAAGAAAAGCAUAAAAACCACACCCACUUGAAUGACACCUAUGCUUAGCAAUGAUUCAAGGCAGAGCAGUCCAAAAUGCAAUAAAAUAUCUGCCAAAUGAAGAUGUCACAAAACUGUAUACAUCAGUAAGGAGUAAAAUAAAACUUGCAGAUCCAUAUAUCAAUUCCACAUGCAUUGACGUUCAGUCUAUCUAAGUAAACCCGCAAUGAGCAUAUGCGUGAGGUAAUGCACAAUAUGCGUUUCAGAAUGCAAGGAUUUUCUUGUCUACGCAGUGGACACUGGUGAGUUACCUCAACAACUGCACUCUUGGUUAUGACAUCAAUGGCAGGGAAAAUCCCACUAUACAAGUAGAAGGCUACGAAAUUUGUAGGCCGGAAUAAAAAUGGGCAUGCAUUCUAAAUAAAGAGGGAAUAUCCUUACUGCAGAAAUUUCUAAGUCUGAGUUGCUAUAAUACACAAGGUCAAGGAGAAUUGUAAGUAGUUUUCAUUAAAAAGAAACUGUAAGUACUGGCUGCUACAAUGCUAAAGAGGCAUGAAUAAAAAAAUUGAGUAGAUUCCAAUUUAAAUUAAACAGAUAUACUGCAACAAGAAAACAAGUGUGCGGAGUAAAGUUCAUCAGCGACUCUGCACAUACUCCCUCCGUUCCUAAAUAGAGUAUAAGACAUUUUUAGAGAUUUCAAUACGGACUACAUUAGCAAAAUGAGUGAAUCGACACUCCAAAAUACAUCUAUAUACAUCCGUAUGUAGUUCAUAUUGAAAUCUCUAAAAAAGCCUUAAAUUUAGAAACAAAAGGAGUAUAUAGCAAAAGAGCUAACAUUCCAUCAUCACAACAAACAAAAUGUUACAGUUGCAUUCAAGAUCAACAGCAACCAACACAGUGCAGAGCACCAGGGACCAGUUUUCCUGAACAACUGCACUCUUGGCGAGUUAUCUCUACAACUGCACUCUUGGUUGCAGGCAAAAUCCCACUAUACAAUACAAGGCAAUGAAAUUUAGUACAAGAUGUUCUAACUUUUACUGAAUCGGAUGUAUAUAAACAUGUUUUAGUGUGUUUAUUCACUCAUUUCAGUCCGUAUGUACUCCAAUUUGGAAUAUCCAAAACAUGUUAUAUUUGUGAACGGAGGGAGUACAAUGCUAAUGAGGAGUAAACAAAAAACAUGAGUAGAUUCCAAUUUAGAUUAAACAGGUAUACUACAACAAAAAACAAGCGUGCGGCCAACAAGGCUAGUUCAUCAGCUGAUACUGCAGAAUGUUACAGUUGCAUCCAAGAUCAACAGCGACCGCCACAAUGCAGAGCACCAGGGACCAGUUUUCCUGAACAACUCCAGUCAAUUAUUCAUCACCCCGAAACAGAAACAAGAAAAGGCCUCACCCCGGCGCGGUCGGCAAUGGGAAGGGCGGGCGCUCAGCCGGCCAUGGGGUGGUUGGCGACGUACUCGAUGGCGAGCGGAAGCGAGUUAAUCUUGUCAGCCUCCAGGUCGGGGAUCUCGAGCUUGAACUCCUCCUCGAUCGCCAUCACCACCUCCACCGUGUCCAGGCUGUCCAGCCCCAGAUCCUUCUCGAAGUGCGCCUCGGGGGUCAC
RNAcentral lists this long non-coding RNA (2295 nucleotides) under Triticum aestivum (bread wheat). RNAcentral describes it as "long non-coding RNA (TAES_LNC014374)". Lineage: Eukaryota; Viridiplantae; Streptophyta; Magnoliopsida; Poales; Poaceae. The record is from RNAcentral.